CCUACGGGAGGCAGCAGUGAGGAAUAUUGGUCAAUGGACGAGAGUCUGAACCAGCCAAGUAGCGUGAAGGAUGACUGCCCUAUGGGUUGUAAACUUCUUUUGCCGGGGAGCAAAAAGCGGUACGCGUACCGCAUCGAGAGUACCCGGAGAAAAAGCAUCGGCAAACUCCGUGCCAGCAGCCGCCGUAAUACGGAGGAUGCGAGCGUUAUCCGGAUGUAUUGGGUUUAAAGGGUGCGCAGGCGGCGAGUUAAGUCAGCGGUAAAAUUUCGGGGCUCAACCCCGACAAGCCGUUGAAACUGGCUUGCUAGAGUGGGCGAGAAGUAUGCGGAAUGCGUGGUGUAGCGGUGAAAUGCAUAGAUAUCACGCAGAACUCCGAUUGCGAAGGCAGCAUACCGGCGCCCAACUGACGCUCAGGCACGAAAGCGUGGGUAUCGAACAGGAUUAGAUACCCGAGUAGUC
Molecule: ribosomal RNA, 459 nt
Filed under: uncultured bacterium
Lineage: Bacteria
Description: partial 16S ribosomal RNA
Rfam family: Bacterial small subunit ribosomal RNA
Source: RNAcentral